UGACACACGGGGAGAGAGACAGAUGGAGAAAGUGAAAGAAUCCUGAGGAGAAAACACGCAAGACCGAGAAAACCAAGAGAGGAGCGUACAGCUGUGACAGAGGGAGAGGAAGAAAGAGAGAGGGAGAGGAGGAGGAGUGGAUGGUAGAGAGCCGGAGACACAGCGAGCGGGAGGGAGAAAGAUGGCCUCGGUCACGGCGGAGAAUGGUUUCAGCACCACGAACAGCUCCGGCAGAAUGAACGGACUCAACAGUGCGAUCCCGAUGAAAGAUCACGACGCCAUCAAGCUCUUCAUCGGUCAGAUCCCGCGCAACCUGGAGGAGAAGGACCUCAAGCCGCUCUUUGAGGAGUUCGGCAAGAUCUACGAGCUCACGGUGCUCAAGGACCGGUUCACCGGGAUGCAUAAAGGAUGUGCCUUUCUAACGUACUGUGCCAGAGAGUCAGCGCUGAAGGCCCAGAGCGCUCUCCACGAACAAAAGACUCUACCCGGGAUGAACCGGCCCAUCCAGGUGAAACCGGCCGACAGUGAAGGACGAGGAGAAGACCGGAAGCUGUUUGUGGGCAUGUUGGGGAAGCAGCAGAGUGAAGAGGACGUGCGGCGGCUGUUCGAGUCGUUCGGCCAGAUAGAGGAGUGCACCGUGCUGCGGGGGCCUGAUGGGGCCAGUAAGGGCUGUGCUUUUGUAAAGUUUUCCAGUCAUGCAGAAGCCCAGGCUGCGAUUAACAGUCUCCACGGUGGACAGACGAUGCCGGGUGCGUCCUCCAGUCUGGUGGUGAAGUUUGCAGACACCGAUAAGGAACGGACCCUGCGCCGGAUGCACCAGAUGGCCGGUCAGCUCGGCAUCUUCAGUCCCAUGACCAUCCAGUUUGGAGCGUACGGAGCUUACACACACGCUCAGAUCAUGCAGCAGCAGGCGGCGCUCAUGGCGGCGACGCAGGGCUCGUAUCUGAACCCAAUGGCUGCCAUCGCCGCCGCGCAGAUGCAGCAAAUGGCAGCUUUCAACGUCAACGGGCUGGUGGCUGCACCCAUGACGCCGUCCUCAGGCACCAGCACUCCACCAGGCAUCAGUGCCACGGCUGUGCCCAGCAUCGCAGCUCCGAUCGGGGUGAACGGCUUCAGCGCUCUCCCUCCCCAAACCAACGGACAGCCCACCUCCGAACCCAUCUACACCAACGGCAUCCAUCCGUACCCAGCACAGAGCCCGACGGUGGCGGAUCCUCUCCAGCAGGCGUAUGCCGGCGUGCAGCACUAUGCAGCAGCCUAUCCUGCCGCUUAUGCGCCAAUCAGCCAAGCGUUUCCCCAGCAACCAGCCAUCAUCCCCCAGCAACAGCGGGAAGGACCGGAGGGCUGUAACCUGUUUAUUUACCACCUGCCGCAGGAGUUCGGCGACGCGGAGCUCAUGCAGAUGUUUCUGCCCUUUGGCAACGUCAUUUCCGCCAAAGUCUUCGUGGACCGGGCCACCAAUCAGAGCAAGUGUUUCGGAUUCGUCAGCUUCGAUAACCCGUCCAGCGCUCAGGCAGCCAUUCAGGCCAUGAACGGCUUUCAGAUCGGCAUGAAGAGGCUCAAAGUUCAGCUGAAGCGGCCAAAGGACGCCAACCGGCCGUACUGACCCUGAGCCGACCGCUGCCACCUUCACUCACAGGGCUCAGGUAGCUCAGGACGGGCCGCUCUGUCUCGUAUGUAAGUCUCCAUCAGGGACGCACGCGUGUCCACCGCCGAUGAAGGACUACAACCCCUUAUUUCCACAAGUGCAGUAUCAAAAGACUUUUGCUCUGCUACAUAUCACGGGAGGCGAGCGGUCCCUGGGAUUUGCGGGGAAAUCACUGAGAGCUGGAAAAACUGGAGGAUUUUUUCUGCCAACUUUCUUCUUUUUUCGCUUCGGCAUUUGCAGGAUGCUUUUUUUGCAUUUUGCAGAGACCGACUUUUUUGCUGCUGUUUUUUUUAGACGAGUUUGAGAAAAAAAAAACAACCUUUAUGAACACAUUAUGCUCAAAGCAUGCAUAAACACACACGAACACACACACCUUCAGAAUAUCCUCGCCUUUACAUGCACACAAAACUCUUUUGAAAUCCUCAUGUAAAUGUAUUGAUUUCCACACACACACACACACACACACACACACACCAGCCUGCUGCCAUUUUGGUUUUCGUGCCUACACUGGUAUCUGCGCUCUGGACGAGAAUCCAGGAAUAUCGACAUGCAUCAUUCCUUAGAAAAUAGGGACCAAAGGACUACAC
Labeo rohita (rohu) is the source of this 2235-nucleotide RNA transcript. It is a transcript of the gene named CUGBP Elav-like family member 6, with no coding region annotated. Lineage: Eukaryota; Metazoa; Chordata; Actinopteri; Cypriniformes; Cyprinidae. The record is from RefSeq and is a predicted model, not a curated record. The transcript is spliced from 14 exons.